CGGAGAUCACAAAACCUUCGUGCCAAUAUAACCAGAGCCUGGCCGUCCACGCCACGUGGUGCCGACGUGGAGAGGAGAGGAGAGGCAGGCUCUGGGACCUGGGAACCUUUCCCGGGCAUCCCAGAGGGCGCAGUGACCGCUCCAGGGCUGCGGCAGGGCGGGCGCACAGGGCCCAGCCCGCCAGGGCCCUCUGCGGUCUGGUCCCGCCUUAAUCUCCAGAUGGCGGUCCAGUCCCGCCUUAAUCGCCAGAUGGGGCAGCUGCUCUCCAGAUGCUGGGAGCUUUGUGCUCGGAGCCGGUUUAUUCUCAUCUUUGUGAAUAAAGGAGCUCGAGUGUUUAGAAGGAAAGGGGGUUGCCCUCCUGGAAAGAGAGCAGCAGUUCGAACAAAGUGACACAGGGAGGGAACAGACACACGAAGGCAUUCCCUUGGUCCCAGACGACUUCAGAGCUCCCUGCAGACUCACCUGGAAGCAUGGAUACGACACCACAGGUGGGGCUCGGCGAGCCAAACGGCACAACCGUGGGCUUUGAACAUCGAGCUGGUCCCAGGGGAGCAGUUACCCCCAAAAGUGUCAACACCCACGGUAGAAGUCGAGAUCUUACAACCAAAACCACAAUCUUGCAGCCAACCAGGAAGCUGAAAGGUAUUUCUAAGCAGAAUGCAGUGUAUAAUGGACACACAGAUCUCUUCCCCAUUUUUUUCUUUUAAAGAACAUUUUUGCCCUUUGUCACUCUGUACAUUCAAUUUCUAUUAUGAAAAAAUUAAAUAUGAAAACACGUGGA
Molecule: non-coding RNA, 781 nt
Organism: Microcebus murinus (gray mouse lemur)
Lineage: Eukaryota; Metazoa; Chordata; Mammalia; Primates; Cheirogaleidae
Source: RefSeq, a predicted model, not a curated record